UUUCUUUCAAAAUUCCGAUCA
Molecule: non-coding RNA, 21 nt
Organism: Caenorhabditis elegans
Lineage: Eukaryota; Metazoa; Nematoda; Chromadorea; Rhabditida; Rhabditidae
Source: Ensembl